Molecule: ribosomal RNA, 478 nt
Filed under: uncultured bacterium
Lineage: Bacteria
Description: partial 16S ribosomal RNA
Rfam family: Bacterial small subunit ribosomal RNA
Source: RNAcentral
GAUGAACGCUGGCGGCGUGCUUAACACAUGCAAGUCGAACGGGAAUUAUUUUAUUGAAACUUCGGUCGAUUUAAUUUAAUUCUAGUGGCGGACGGGUGAGUAACGCGUGGGUAACCUGCCUUAUACAGGGGGAUAACAGUCAGAAAUGGCUGCUAAUACCGCAUAAGCGCACAGAGCUGCAUGGCUCAGUGUGAAAAACUCCGGUGGUAUAAGAUGGACCCGCGUUGGAUUAGCUGGUUGGUGGGGUAACGGCCCACCAAGGCGACGAUCCAUAGCCGGCCUGAGAGGGUGAACGGCCACAUUGGGACUGAGACACGGCCCAGACUCCUACGGGAGGCAGCAGUGGGGAAUAUUGCACAAUGGGGGAAACACUGAUGAAGCGACGCCGCGUGAAGGAAGAAGUAUCUCGGUAUGUAAACUUCUAUCAGCAGGGAAGAUAGUGACGGUACCUGACUAAGAAGCCCCGGCUAACUACGUG